CGUGGAAACUUUGAAAAUGUCUGUCGUAGGGUGAAGCAGCUGGUGGAGUGUCAGUCGUUCGGCAGUACUUGGGAUGGAGAAGUUCAUUUUAGAUUUUGCCUGAUCUCCUGAGUUUCUACAGUUUUUCACAGGAUCCCUACAGUGUGGAAACAGGCCAUUUGAUCCGACAAGUCCACACCAACCCUCCAACAAGCAUCUCAGCCAGACCCACCUCCCUACCCUUUUCCUGUAACCCUACAUUUCCUAUGGCUAAUGCACCUAACCUAUACAUCCCUGGAUAUUGUGAACAAUGUAGCAUGGCCAAUUCACCUCACUUACACAUCUUUGAACUGUGGGAGGAAACCAGAGCACCCAGCAUAAACCCACCCAGACACAGGAAGAACGUGCAAACUCCACACAGACAGUUGCCCGAGGCUGGAAUUGAACCCAGGUCCCCGGUCCUGUGAGGUAGCAGUGCUAACCACUGUGCUGCCAGUUGUUCUUAUUUUCUGUGAGACUCAUCUGUUGGAUAGGGAUAAUAUUUCUGUUAUGUAUUUAUUAACUGAUUAUAUUAAUAUCAUUUAAAUUUGUGGAACUGCCAAAGAUUAGAAAUGAAACAGGCAAUGGGUUUAGAAUGGUAGAGAUACGUUUAGUUUGAUAAAUGGCACUGAAAGUUCUGUAUUUUGGCUUUUAUGAUCACAGUUAAUUGUAAUGUAUAAUACAUAACUUUGGCUUGUUUGUUGAUAUGUUGUAGCAUUUAGUUACAAAGUACACUGUAUUUAUGUUUUUUACACAUUUGUAGUGGUUUGUAAUGGUGGCUGCUUUGUUGCCAUAUUGUAACCAAACAGGAAGCCUGAACAGUUAGUGUUAAAAAGCCCAAUAUUCAUCAUAAAUAAACCCAAUUUAGAGAUGCUAACCAGGCUCACAAAGCCUCACAAAUCCAGCACCACUUCCCCCACACCAACAUGAUUGCUCCUGCAAACUUGAGACAAUUGAUGAUGGUUCUGAGAUGUUUAGAAGAACAUUGAAUACAGGAAUCAAGACAUCCAUGUUGCAGCUGUACAAAACAUUCUUAAGGUCAUAAGACCAUAAGACGUAGGAGUGGAAGUAAGGCCAUUCGGCCCAUCGAGUCCACUCCACCAUUUAAUCAUGGUUGAUGGGCAUUUCAACUCCACUUCCCUGCACUUUCCCCGUAGCCCUUAAUUCCUUGUGAGAUCAAGAAUUUAUCAAUCUCUGUCUGGAAGACAUUUAAUGGCCCGGCCUCCACUGUGCUCCGUGGCAAUGAAUUCCACUGGUCCACCACUCUCUGGCUGAAGAAAUGUCUCCUCGUUUCUGUUCUAAAUUUACCCCCUCUAAUUCUAAGGCUAUGCCUACGAAUCCUAGUCUCCCCGCCUAACGGAAACAACCUCCCAGCAUCCACCCUUUCUAAGCCAUAAGUAAGUUUCUAUUAGCUCUCCCCUCAACCUUCUAAACUCUAAUGAAUACAAUCACAGGAUCCUCAGCCGUUCAUCGUAGGCCUACCAUUCCAGGGAUCAUCCGUAUGAAUCUCCGCUGGACACACUCCAGUGACAGUAUGUCCUUCCUGACAUGUGGGGCCCAAAAUUGGACAGUGUUCUAAAUUGGGCCUAACUAGAGCUUUAUAAAGUCUCAGAAGCACAUCGCUGCUUUUAUAUUCCAACCCUCUUGAGAUAAGUGACAACAUUACAUUUGCUUUCUUAAUCACAGACUCAACGUGCAAGUUAACCUUUAGAGUAUCCUGGACUAGAACUCCCAGAUCUCUUUGUACUAUGGCUUUAUGAAUUUUCUCACCGUUUAGAAAAUAGUCUGUGCCUGUAUUCUUUUUUCCAAAGUGCAAGACCUCGCAUUAGCUCACGUUGAAUUUCAUCAGCCAUUUCCUGGACCACUCUCCUAUACUGUCUAAAUCUUUCUGCAGCCUCUCCACCUCCUCAGUACUACCUGCCUGUCCACCGAACUUGGUAUCAUUGGCAAACUUCGCCAGAAUGCCCCCAGUCCCUUCAUCCAGAUCAUUAAUAUUAAAGUGAACAGCUGCAGCCCCAACACUGAACCCUGUGGGACACCACUUGUUACUGGUUGCCAUUCUGAAAAAGAACCUUUUAUCCCAACUCUCUGCCUUCUGUCAGACAGCCAAUCCUCAAUCCAUGCCAGUAGCUCACCUCGAACACCAUGGGCACUCACCUUACUCAACAGCCUCCCGUGAGCCAUCUUAUCAAAGGCCUUUUGGAAGUCUAGAUAGGUAACAUUCACUGGGUUUCCCUGAUCCAAGCUACUUGUUACCUCUUCAAAGAAUUCUAACAGGUUUGUCAGGCACGACCUCCCCUUACUAAAUCUAUGCUGACUUGUUCUAAUCUGACCCUGCACUCUCAAGAAUUUAGAAAUCUCCAUGGAACUUGCUGACAUCCUGAAUGAAACAACCAGCAAAUCGGCAGGCAGCAGUUGGUCAGCUAUUAAGAUCAUGACAGGUGGGGACAUUACCAGUGACCAGAAGGAAUGGAUUUCAAAUAACAUGAGUUGGAAAUUCUGAAGUGUGUGUUGGGUCAUAAAAAGAAACUUUGGGGCAAGGACAGAAAUAAUUUAUUUGUCAAGCCGAGAGGGAAACUCUUUUAUUUUUAUUCAUUCUCAGGAUGAAGGUGUCGCUGGAUAGGCUAGUGUUUAUUGCCCAUACCUAAUUGCCUGGAGCAGUUAAGAGUUGCAUGUAAACCAGACCAGGUGAAGAUAGCAGUUUCCUUCCUGAAAGGACAUUAGAGUACCAGAUGUGUUUGUUUCUGAAAAUUGACACGUGUUCACUAUUCGUUUCUUCAUUCCAGAUAUUUAUUGAAUUCAAACUCCACUGUCUGCUAUGGUAGGAUUUGAACCCAGUCCCCAGAACCUGAGUCUCUAGAUUAAUAGCCCAGUGAUAAGACCCAUAAGUCAUCGACUCUCCCAAACUUAUCCUGGUCCGUAAAGGAACGAAACAGAAGCAUAUCUUAUUGAAGUCUCUUGUGGUCCUGAGCAACAUUCUCCCUAACUUCUUUGUGCUGUAUUCAGCAAAGGUGCGGGCUGUUUUGUACUGCAUACAAUUCUAGUCACCCUGCCAUAGGAAGAAUGUUAUUAAACUUGAAAGGUUGCAAAAAUGAUUUACAAGCAUGUUACUAAGACCGCAAGUGAGAGGCAAUGGCCUAAUAGUAUUAUCGCUGGACUGUUAAUCCAGAGACCCAGGUAAUGUUAUGGAGUUCUGGGUUUCAAUCCUGCCACGGCGGAUGGCGGAAUUUGAAGUCAAUAAAUAUCUGGAAUUAAGAUUCUAAUGAUGACCAUGAAUCCAUUGCGAGUUGUUGGGAAAAAUCCAUCUAGUUCACUAAUGCCCUUCAGAGAAGGAAACCCUCAUUGUUACUGGUCUGGCCUAAAUGUGACUCCAGACCCACAGCAAUGUGGUUGACUCAUAACUGUCCUCUGAGCAAUUAGGGAUGGGCAAUAAAUGCUGGCCUAGCCAGCGACACCUUCAUCCUGUGAAUGAAUAAAGGAAAAAAAAGACUCCAGCCCAACAGAGCUUUGGUUUUUGACUCUGUGCCAGCUGCUCCCUUACUCCACAGAUCCAUCCCCAUCUCUCCUACCACCACCAGCCAUUGACAGUGCCCUAUGUUCCUUGUGCCUCUGCGAGCAUCAGAUUUGACUUGUCAAAGUAUCCCACUGACCUUUCAGAAAACUGGACACAGCCGAUACCACCACGAUUCAGUCAUGGCUGAUCUUCUGUCUCAGCUCUACAGUCCUGCCUGUUUCAAUAUGUCUGUCAGUUUGCUGGGAGAUCACAAAGCUAUCUCAGCCAUCAGUAAGUUCAGCGAUGGAGCAUCCACAAUGCUCAGCGUGAGAAUUUCAAAGAUUCAUAUCCAUGUGAAUGAAGAAAUUUUUCCUCAUCUCAAUUCUAAAUGAUCGAUGCUCUAUUCUAGGGCUGUGUCCUCAUGAGAUAACAAAGUGUGGAGCUGGAUGAACACAGCAGGUCAAGCAGCAUCUUAGGAGCACAAAAGCUGAUGUUUCAGGCCUAGAUCCUUGCUCCACACUUUGUUAUCUCAGAUUCUCCAGUUGCCAUUAUCUCUGUGUCCUCAUGAUAUGGGUGUCUCCUACGAUAGGGAUGUCCCAACCAAGCAAAACAUAUUGAGCGUCUUCAGAAUCUUAGGUUUCAAUGAGAUCCCCUCUCAAUUUUUUAAACUGACAGAAAUGACCUAAUUAUGCUACACCUAUUAAAAGAUACUUACAUCUAUGAACUAUGUUUUAAAUGGUAAAAAAUUGCAGCAUGCUGCUGUGCAGAGGGACUUGGGUGUCCUUGUGCAUGAGUCGCUAAAAGUAGGAUUGCAGAUGCAGCAGGUAAUUAAAAAGGCAAAUGGAAUUUUGUCUGUCAUUGCUAGAGGGAUGGAGUUUAUAAACUGGGAGGCUAUGCUGCAGCUGUAUAGGGUCCUGGUGAGGCCACACCUGGAGCACUGUGUGCAGUUUUGGUCUCCUUACUUGAGAAGGGAUAUACUAGCACUGGAGGGGGUGCAGAGGAGAUUUACUUGGUUGAUUCCAGAGUUGAGAGGCUGGGAUUAUGAGGAGAGACUGAGUAGGCUGGGAUUACACUCAUUGGAAUUCAGAAGAAUGAGGGAAGACCUUAUGGAAACAUACAAGAUUAUGAAGGGAUUAAAUAAGGUGGAGGCAGGGAGGUUGUUUCCACUAGCAGGUGAAAUUAGGACUGGGGGCAUAGCCUCAAAAUACAGGGAAGCAGAUGUAGGACUGAGGUCAGGAGGAACGUCUUCACCCGAAGGGUUGUGAAUCUGUGGAAUUCCCUGCCCAGUGAAGUGGUUGAAGCUGCCUCGAUGAAUGUGUUUAAGGCAAGGCUAGACAAAUUUUUGAACAAUAAAGGAAUUAAGGGGUCAUGGUGUGCGGGCAGGUAAGUGGAGCUAAGCCUCAAAAAGAUCAGUCAUGAUCUUAUUGAAUGGCGGGCAGGCUCGAGUGGCCGGAUGGCCUAUUCCUACUCCUAGUUCUUAUGUUCUAUGCCAUUUUCACAAUUCAAUCCAGAAGUAAACUUCCGUACAGGACUCUGUCCUAACCCGAAACAUCAACUUCCUGGCUCCGCUGAUGCUGCCUGGCCCGCUGACCUCCUCCAGCUCCACGCUGUUACAGCUAUGUAUUAAGAGGUUGUUUUAGUAUUGUUCCAAAAUGCAAUAAUUUCUCAUCAAGAUAGUUUUACAAUUGCUGCACAUGUUAAAAUCAAAUGGUAUUAAGAUUCAAUAAACAUUUAAUAUAUUCAAAAUUUGAUUGCAGAGCAUAAACACAUUGCUUCCUACUGUUUUGUAUAUAUUUUAUGAAUGUGGAUUUAUACUUUGUACAUGUAUGUAAUUGUAUUCAGUUUACGGGCAGAAUAUUAGGCUUCAUAAAGUGGCAUGGGCAUUGAAGUGAAAGUUGACAAAACAUGGCAAGAAUAAAUAAAAAUUGGAAUUAGAAUCUCAA
This is a long non-coding RNA of Stegostoma tigrinum, 5454 nucleotides long. RefSeq lists it as uncharacterized. The transcript is spliced from 2 exons. The record is from RefSeq and is a predicted model, not a curated record. Lineage: Eukaryota; Metazoa; Chordata; Chondrichthyes; Orectolobiformes; Stegostomatidae.